Molecule: long non-coding RNA, 1882 nt
Filed under: Bemisia tabaci
Lineage: Eukaryota; Metazoa; Arthropoda; Insecta; Hemiptera; Aleyrodidae
Description: lncRNA ENSASIAIIG008014
Source: RNAcentral
GAGCACAAAGUGGCACACGACCACUUCAAAAGGUGUACAAACCUUCAGGUCGAUAUUGAGGAAGAAGUUCCUUUGAUCAUAAUCAGUUCCUUGAUCGCGAAAGGACAUUCAGAUAAUCAGAUAAGAGCCAUCCUUAGGCCUGAAACUGCAACUGUUACAGCAACAAGCACUCCAGAAACUGCUCCAGCAGUGCAACAAGCAGUUCCAGCACCAGUAAUUUUUUGGUUUAUUAAGAUUAAUGAAGGAGGCAUAUCCCCUCAAUGUUGGCAGCUAUUUAAGAGAAUGGAACUCAAAGACUUUAAAAAAAUUAUAGUCAUAUACUUCGGCAACCCUCUGAACUUAAGUUCGAAGUAAAGGAGGAAAAAAUGAAGGUGGGAUUGUGCCUUAUAGAAAAUUAAAAGAGUUGUUUUUAAGGAUAAAAUCCUUCAUAUUUUUUAAGUAAUCACGGAAUCCCUUUUCACAUGAAUGGGUAACGUCAAGACCCCAUGGAUCCUGUCCCAAUAAAUUGUCAUUAGCACGAUGACAGAAAGAGGAGAGAAUGUAUCAUAAAAUUCCUAAUUUUGGACUAAUUACUUUCCACAGUGUGUUCAAUUUUUUCCUCUUUAUUACACAUGGUGUCUGCCUCUUCGAAAAAACUUUUUGAUUGAUAUUUUCCCUUUUACAAAUCAUAUCUUAAAAAUUGGAUUUAAAGCUCUCAAUGCACAGAGUUCAUGCCUCUUGCCAUAGAAAUUUCACCCGUCAAUAAGUAAAAUUCGCAUAAAGUGGAUGAUGUGAUGUUUUUCUGAUGAGCUGUUUACCCAAAGGGCCGAGACAGCAUUUCUAAUUCGGGUCUACAUUUUAAAAUUGAAAGGUUAUAAUUUAUCAGUAUCAGGUUUGCCGAAAAGUCGCCUUUGUUUCAGGAUAAAAUUGUCUUCCUGCGGGCCGAUUGUUGAAUCGUUAUCGAUUGAAAUCGAUCGAUAACUCCCUAUCUUAACAAUGGUGUAUAUCGAUCAAGGUCAUUCGAUAACGAUUCAACAAUCGGCCCGCAGGAGACGUUUCUCCGUCGAUUGGGUCCAGUCGAUACGUUUUGGGGGUCAUCAAAUUGAGUCAUUCUUUUAGGAACCAAUGAUUUCUUAAAGAAUGGUAAAUUUGAUUACCCCAACUACGAUCGAUUGAUCAGCACUGCUGCACCUCUUUUCGGACAAGUGAUCCUUGUUGACAUUCCUCCGAUCCCGAAGAAACCUCUACUGGCCGAGAAAAUCGGAAUAGCAAACACAUGGAUCGCUUCACAGGCUUGUAGAGGUUUCCAAGUCAUUCAAAGUCCCAGAAGUGUUGGUAACAAAGACAUAAAGACGCUCGCUCGUAUCUAAAAGCACGGGAAAAAAGUGAAGCUAGGUUCGGCGCUGCGCGCUUGUGUGAGUGUGUGAGUGAGCGCGGGAAUCCAUGGCGGCAAACGGAAAUUUGAUUUGAACUUGUCCUCUUGAUUUUUCCACAUUUCUUCUUCGAAACGUAUUUUAAAUGCCUAAAACGAAUAUAUUAAGAAAGUUGGGACUGCGUCCUACUAUAAUACAUUUACUUUUGCUCGGUAACAGGCAGUAAUCUCAGAUAAAGUUAGUUUUUCUUCUGCUCAUGGUGGUUCUGCAGGUUCAAACAGGCCGUUACAGUUCUAGAUCAACGUUACUCCCAAAUGAAAUUAAUCGGUCGACGACGGACCGAAACUACCCUAAAGUUAAAAACAUAUGAGUGCGAAUUUGGGCAAAAAUCAAUCUAAAAUACUUUGUUUCCGCAAUUUUAUUAAGUUCCCGCCCUACAUUUGAAUUUCAAACUUGUCCCGAUUUCGCCGCCAAUCCUCUAGCCAAUAGUAGAGGUGAUUGAAAAAAAAGCUCAUGAAGCUUCAUUUUUU